Chelonia mydas (Green sea turtle) is the source of this 862-nucleotide long non-coding RNA. RefSeq lists it as uncharacterized. The record is from RefSeq and is a predicted model, not a curated record. Lineage: Eukaryota; Metazoa; Chordata; Testudines; Cheloniidae. The transcript has 4 exons.
ACAGGAACAAAACCAGGCACCAGCCAGUCUGGGGUCCUGAGAAAGUCUGUGUCCUCUUGGAUCAGAAUUGGAAUCUUAUAGAAGUCUUUUAACCUCUGUUCAUAAUCAAGCUCAGAUAACAGAAGCAAGCCUAGGAAACACUCAAGAUAUGGAAAAGACGUGUUCAAGCUGAUGGGACAAGUCCAUGUCUCCUCUUUGGUGGGGAGCGAGUGGAGGGACCGAGGACUAGGGGGGAAGCAAUCAACAAAGUCUUUGGUAACUCUGACGUUCCACAAUGGCCUACUGAAAGCAAAUUAACCUUCCUGUGGGCAGGAUCUAACACCUUCUGCAACAACUGAGGCAGGGGUCUUAAGGACAACAGCCUCCUUCACUGCACGGUCCUGAAUACUCCCUAGAGCACGUCCAUCUUGCGCGCUGAGUGAGGCAGGGUCCCUGUGGGGAAAGAAAGCAUGCCAUCUCUUCAAUUAAAUGUUUCAAGUAGUUUUGUUAAAAAAAAAAAAAUAUGUAACUAGAGAGACAAGUGAAAAUGACCAACAUUAUCAAGUGCACUUCACAUUGAUAAACGUCAAUCUUUUUACUCAUGCAAAAUUGUUCUGAGAAAACAUCAGUCCAGGACUCAGCUUCAGCAAUUACUGUCAUCAUCAGCCAAGUUCUAUUUUUCACCAUGAAAAAUCUCAUCAAGCCCAUUUCCAUUGUAAAUGUGUUGCUAGCAGAGUUCAGAGUGGUGUUAUCAGGAAGUGGAGUUUCAGUCAGCCCUCUGCAAAUAACUAGAGGCUCAUUGCAACAAAGGAAAGAUGUUUAUCUGUUCUGGGAUAAUCACUUUGGGAAAAGAAGGGGAAUAAUUGUGUGGCAACUAUUAAAA